Homo sapiens (human) is the source of this 550-nucleotide long non-coding RNA. Ensembl annotates it as long intergenic non-protein coding RNA 2471. The record is from Ensembl. Lineage: Eukaryota; Metazoa; Chordata; Mammalia; Primates; Hominidae.
UGGUAGAGUAUGCUGACGCAGUGAGCACACAGAAGACUUUUUUCAUGUGACAGAGCCAGAGUCUGAGAUCUGCAGUUGCAGAAUAUUUAGCUUACCUAAAGUUAACAUCUGAUGACAUGAUCGCAACUCCAUAUCCUGAGUUGAUUUCAACCUAUGAUGUUGGAAUUUUCCACAUGGAGAUAAACACUGGGAAGCAGCUAAUCAUUCUCUCUGGAUUUAUAAGGAACAAAUGGAUAAGUGAAACUUGAAAACAAUGGCCAAAGUACUAAGAACUAAUGUUUCUUCAACAAAACAAAUACUUUUACUUUAAGAACAGAAGAUAAAAGGCCAAAGUUGUAAUAUAAGACAAAUUACGGAAAUAUACACUUAUACAUAUAAAACCACUCCUCUUUUUAAAAAAUCAUGCUUUUUAAGAAGAAUCUUCUCAUAUCAGUGAGAAAGAAAGUUAUCUUAACAAACAAAAAGUAUUUUGAAAAAAAGCGUUCACAUGUAUAAGAAAGAAAAUGAACAAAUAAAUAGGAAAAAAGAUCUCUGGUUCAACCAUAUCAAA